AGAAUGACUCUCGGCAACGGAUAUCUAGGCUCUUGCAUCGAUGAAGAACGUAGCGAAAUGCGAUACUUGGUGUGAAUUGCAGAAUCCCGUGAACCAUCGAGUCUUUGAACGCAAGUUGCGCCCGAUGCCAAUAGGUUGAGGGCACGUCUGCCUGGGUGUCACA
RNAcentral lists this ribosomal RNA (163 nucleotides) under Medicago polymorpha. RNAcentral describes it as "5.8S ribosomal RNA". It matches the Rfam family "5.8S ribosomal RNA". From Rfam's summary of the family: 5.8S ribosomal RNA (5.8S rRNA) is a component of the large subunit of the eukaryotic ribosome. It is transcribed by RNA polymerase I as part of the 45S precursor that also contains 18S and 28S rRNA. Lineage: Eukaryota; Viridiplantae; Streptophyta; Magnoliopsida; Fabales; Fabaceae. The record is from RNAcentral.